AUUCCCCUAGUAACGGCGAGUGAAGAGGGAAGAGCCCAAGAUUGAAAGCUGGCGUCUUCGGCGUCCGCAUUGUAAUCUCAAGAAGUGUUUUCCGCUUCGGACCAUGCCUAAGUCCCUUGGAAAAGGGCAUCAUAGAGGGUGAUAAUCCCGUACAUGGCAUGGAGCGCCCGAGGCUUUGUGAUACGCUUUCUAAGAGUCGAGUUGUUUGGGAAUGCAGCUCMAAAUGGGUGGUAAAUGCCAUCUAAGGCUAAAUAUUGGGGAGAGACCGAUAGCGAACAAGUACAGUGAUGGAAAGAUGAAAAGAACUUKRAAARRAGAGUUAAACAGUACGUGAAAUUGCCAAAAGGGAAGGGUAGGAGGUCAGAGAUGCGUCUUGGGAUUCAGCCUUGCCAUUGGCAUGGUGUUUUUCCCAAGUUUGCAGGCCAACGUCGGUUUUGGGCACUGGAGAAGGGUGGAAGGAAUGUGGCACCUCUCGGGGUGUGUUAUAGCCUUCUACUGGAUACAGCGACCGAGACCGAGGACAGCAGCGUACUCGUAAGAGCGGGCCUUCGGGCACCUUUACGCUUAGGGCGUUGGCAUAAUGGCCCUCUACCACCCGUCUUGAAACACGGACCAAGGAGUCUAACAUGUAUGCGAGUCUUUGGGUGGCAAACCCAUCGGCGCAAUGAAAGUGAAUUCAGGUGGGAUCCGCAAGGUGCACCAUCGACCGAUCCUCACGUCUUUUAAGUCGUGGAUUUGAGUAAGAGCAUACCUGUUGGGACCCGAAAGAUGGUGAACUAUGCCUGAAUAGGGUGAAGCCAGAGGAAACUCUGGUGGAGGCUCGUAGCGGUUCUGACGUGCAAAUCGAUCGUCAAAUUUGGGUAUAGGGGCGAAAGACUAAUCGAACCAUUUUACAAUUUGCUAGGUGGUUAAGAGGUGGCUAAAAGGGCACACCUAGUGGGCGCUGAAGCUCGCGACACUGUCAAAAUGCGGGGACACCCUAAAGCUUUCAAUACCAAGCCGGCGUGGAAACACAGUCGGUGGCCGAGUUAACAACCCUGGGUACGGUAAAAACUUGAAAGAUGCUACAAUGGGCAAUCCGCAGCCAAGCUCUARGGGCGGGCGCCGUUUCGGGCGCCGGUCUAUGAGUGCAGUUCACAGACUAGAUGGCAGUGGGUUUCGUCGUUUUCAAUGUGAUAAUAAUUUAUUAUUAUUGGCGACGGGGCUUAAGAUAUAGUCGGUCCUCUCUCGAAAGGGAGCCGGAGGAAAAAAGAUCGAGGUUCUUCAGCAACAGACCUCUUUCCGGAGCCUC
Molecule: ribosomal RNA, 1291 nt
Filed under: Anthracocystis anthracoideispora
Lineage: Eukaryota; Fungi; Basidiomycota; Ustilaginomycetes; Ustilaginales; Ustilaginaceae
Description: LSU rRNA
Rfam family: Eukaryotic large subunit ribosomal RNA
Source: RNAcentral